RNAcentral lists this ribosomal RNA (1552 nucleotides) under Salmonella enterica subsp. enterica serovar Bareilly str. CFSAN000189. RNAcentral's name for it is "bacterial SSU rRNA". It matches the Rfam family "Bacterial small subunit ribosomal RNA". The record is from RNAcentral. Lineage: Bacteria; Pseudomonadati; Pseudomonadota; Gammaproteobacteria; Enterobacterales; Enterobacteriaceae.
AAAUUGAAGAGUUUGAUCAUGGCUCAGAUUGAACGCUGGCGGCAGGCCUAACACAUGCAAGUCGAACGGUAACAGGAAGCAGCUUGCUGCUUUGCUGACGAGUGGCGGACGGGUGAGUAAUGUCUGGGAAACUGCCUGAUGGAGGGGGAUAACUACUGGAAACGGUGGCUAAUACCGCAUAACGUCGCAAGACCAAAGAGGGGGACCUUCGGGCCUCUUGCCAUCAGAUGUGCCCAGAUGGGAUUAGCUAGUUGGUGAGGUAACGGCUCACCAAGGCGACGAUCCCUAGCUGGUCUGAGAGGAUGACCAGCCACACUGGAACUGAGACACGGUCCAGACUCCUACGGGAGGCAGCAGUGGGGAAUAUUGCACAAUGGGCGCAAGCCUGAUGCAGCCAUGCCGCGUGUAUGAAGAAGGCCUUCGGGUUGUAAAGUACUUUCAGCGGGGAGGAAGGUGUUGUGGUUAAUAACCGCAGCAAUUGACGUUACCCGCAGAAGAAGCACCGGCUAACUCCGUGCCAGCAGCCGCGGUAAUACGGAGGGUGCAAGCGUUAAUCGGAAUUACUGGGCGUAAAGCGCACGCAGGCGGUCUGUCAAGUCGGAUGUGAAAUCCCCGGGCUCAACCUGGGAACUGCAUUCGAAACUGGCAGGCUUGAGUCUUGUAGAGGGGGGUAGAAUUCCAGGUGUAGCGGUGAAAUGCGUAGAGAUCUGGAGGAAUACCGGUGGCGAAGGCGGCCCCCUGGACAAAGACUGACGCUCAGGUGCGAAAGCGUGGGGAGCAAACAGGAUUAGAUACCCUGGUAGUCCACGCCGUAAACGAUGUCUACUUGGAGGUUGUGCCCUUGAGGCGUGGCUUCCGGAGCUAACGCGUUAAGUAGACCGCCUGGGGAGUACGGCCGCAAGGUUAAAACUCAAAUGAAUUGACGGGGGCCCGCACAAGCGGUGGAGCAUGUGGUUUAAUUCGAUGCAACGCGAAGAACCUUACCUGGUCUUGACAUCCACGGAAGUUUUCAGAGAUGAGAAUGUGCCUUCGGGAACCGUGAGACAGGUGCUGCAUGGCUGUCGUCAGCUCGUGUUGUGAAAUGUUGGGUUAAGUCCCGCAACGAGCGCAACCCUUAUCCUUUGUUGCCAGCGGUUAGGCCGGGAACUCAAAGGAGACUGCCAGUGAUAAACUGGAGGAAGGUGGGGAUGACGUCAAGUCAUCAUGGCCCUUACGACCAGGGCUACACACGUGCUACAAUGGCGCAUACAAAGAGAAGCGACCUCGCGAGAGCAAGCGGACCUCAUAAAGUGCGUCGUAGUCCGGAUUGGAGUCUGCAACUCGACUCCAUGAAGUCGGAAUCGCUAGUAAUCGUGGAUCAGAAUGCCACGGUGAAUACGUUCCCGGGCCUUGUACACACCGCCCGUCACACCAUGGGAGUGGGUUGCAAAAGAAGUAGGUAGCUUAACCUUCGGGAGGGCGCUUACCACUUUGUGAUUCAUGACUGGGGUGAAGUCGUAACAAGGUAACCGUAGGGGAACCUGCGGUUGGAUCACCUCCUUACCUUAAAGAA